CUGGCCUCGUUUAAUGUAAGAGCUGGAAGGUACUCCUUGCUGCAGGGUGCGGUGGUCAGGAAAGAGGCUCAAGGCCACCUUGCCUGCCCUGCCUCUCCAGCUCAGGGAAGGAAGCCUGUGAGCCUUCCUGGACUUUGCCCCAUUGAGGAAAAGGCGGGAGUCACAUUCAAACAGGUGCUGAGAAAGCACAUGUUUCCCAUGGCUUGUGGAUGGUCCUCUUUCAAGAAAGCUACAAACUUUGUUCAAGAGGCUGAGUGAUCAACUCAUCUAAGGCCUGUGUUGUUCCUGUGGAAGGCCCUGAAGAACUCAGAGGAAGCACCCUGGAGCUGUGACAGUUCCGUGAGAGUUGGCACCUCUACCAUCUAAACACAUGACCAGACUCACCCACUCACAGAAAGAUCGUAUGGCAUUACCCAGCUCUACAAAGAACAGCCACCUCAGAGGCUUUCACCGAGUGCUGUGUUAAUGUUUAUAACAGUCACACUACCCUCACGCAAGGUAGCCUGAUCCGUCUUACAGGAAGUGGAGAGUCAGGGAGAGGAAGGAAACUUCUGCCAGCCUCGGAGAUGCAGUUUCAUAAAUACGCAGAGACCUAGGCAGACCAGCUGCUUAAAUAAAAGUGUGCCUCCUUGAGGGCCUAAGAGUGCUUGCUGCUCAAUCACGAGGAUGUAAGUUCAAAUCCCAGGACUCAUGUAAGAACGUCUGUGCACAC
This 712-nucleotide long non-coding RNA is filed under the name Rattus norvegicus (Norway rat). RNAcentral's name for it is "long non-coding RNA NONRATT031920". The record is from RNAcentral. Lineage: Eukaryota; Metazoa; Chordata; Mammalia; Rodentia; Muridae.